Long non-coding RNA from Solanum pennellii, 607 nucleotides. RefSeq lists it as uncharacterized. NCBI's taxonomy places the organism in Eukaryota, Viridiplantae, Streptophyta, Magnoliopsida, Solanales, Solanaceae. The record is from RefSeq and is a predicted model, not a curated record. The transcript has 2 exons.
UAAAAAAUCUAUUUUUUUUCAUCAAAAUUAGGUUCCUAAAAGAUCAGUCUACUGAUCGAUCAAAAUUCUAAAAUUAAAAGAAAAAAAGUAAUGUGAAAUCAAAAACCCUAGCAACCAUCUUCCCUAACAACAAUCUUCCCUCAUAACGAUCUCAGGAAACGCACCGGUCUGCCUAGCAGGAAACACAACCUAGAUCUUUGUGUUUUCUUAGAACAGCGAAGGCCUGCUUAGCAGUGAUCUCCACUCAAUCUCUAUCUUCUAUUCACUCGAAGCUGAGGACAAAAUUCUGUGACCAAUACACUAUAUGGAGAACAACAGAGUUAUACAUAUAUGAAUCUUUAUACAUAUGCUGGGAUAGUGCUGCUUUUGAUGAUAAAACAGAGUUAUUUUAUACAUAUCUUCUGAGUUAUUUUAAUGUUUGUGUCGUUUCCUCUCUAUAUAGAUAUUGGAAAGCUGAUUCGCAUUCAGUUUUAACCUUUUGGCAUCUACAAUAGUAUUAAUAGCUACCACGUCUGAAAUGCUUUAGUUGUUCUGAGUUAUUUUAAUGUUUGCAUCGUUUCUUCCCUAGACAAAAAUUGAAAAACUAAUAUGCAUUCAGUUUUAGCCA